Perca fluviatilis (European perch) is the source of this 883-nucleotide long non-coding RNA. RefSeq lists it as uncharacterized. The transcript is spliced from 3 exons. The record is from RefSeq and is a predicted model, not a curated record. NCBI's taxonomy places the organism in Eukaryota, Metazoa, Chordata, Actinopteri, Perciformes, Percidae.
GCUCACUGAGAGUGGAGAAUAUCUGCAUUACAAGAGGACAGAGGUUGUUCUGAAGGAGUGGAGUCUGGUGUGCGGCAGUCAUGGUUCCAGCUGCAUCUCAUCUACCACAAUCAACCUCUGCGUCAGAUCAUAGUCAAGACAACCCCACUACUAUUGGAACCUGACUCCUGCUACAGCUGCCAUCCACCGGACCAGACAACUGCCACUGGACCUCACCCCUAGCCGACCACUGGGUUACUCUGACGGAACCACUCCUUCCCGGAAUCCACCGGACCUGUUUGCCUCUCUGGAAACCUGGACUUGCUUAUCCCCUUUCCGGAAACCUGGACUUGUACUUAACCCUUGUGUUGAAUUCGGGUCAAAUUGACCUGUUUUCAAUUUUUGUUUUAUAUCAGAAAUUAUGGAACGUAGAAAUAAGCGCUGAAAAUGUGUAAAAGAAAAAUUGUACAUUUUAAAACGUUGGAAAAAGCCAAAAAAAAGUGUUCUUGUCAAGGUUGACGGAAGACAACACAGAGUUAAGUACUUUGAAAAAAAAAAAACUGUUAACUCACACUCUGGCUCUGCGUUUAUGUCUGCAUUUGGGUUGAUAGAUAGAUAGAUAGAUAGAUAGAUAGAUAGAUAGAUAGAUAGAUAGAUAGAUAGAUAGAUAUUUUACUCUAUGCUGCUAUUUGAAGAGACAGGCUCCAACAGAAUUUUGUUGUAUUGUCAACAGGGAUGGCAAGGCCACACUAAUAGCCACUAAAUGGCAAAAAGGUACUUUGCAACAACAGUUUGAGUUUCUCAGUUUAACGAGGUGCACCUGGUUUCGAUAGUCAAACUUGAAAGCUCAUUUUGAUCGAAUCAAAAUCGUGAAGCCCCUACUCAACCCUUUUCCUAUUCCUAU